UUUGUCUUUGUCGCGUCGUACUUUCUACAUGCUGUGUGUUUGUCGUGUUCCAUUGUUUCAGUUCCAAGUUUUGGUUUUGUGAGAGUUAUUUUUAAGGAGAUUUUUCCAGCAUUAAAGCUGCGUUUUGAGUUCCAGUCCUGUCUUUGAGAGUCCUGCAUUUUGUGUCCUUUUUCCUGCCUGCCACACAGCCUCUCAUGACAGAAAGAUGCGACCGCUACAUGGACCCCGCAGCGUCUGAUGAGCUUCGGGUGGACAUAAUUUAUUCUGUGAAUAAGUUAUGUGACCUGUGGCUGGAUCAUCCGGAAGAAGAGUUUCAGUGUGCUGUAGCUGACUGGCUACAGCGACUGGUUUCCGGUCUCCCGUGGUUUCUGGACUCGCUUCACCCACGCAUACAGGAUUUUUUUCCUUAAUGAGCUCUUCAUCUUCAGCCCCCAGCUGCUACUCAGCUCGGCGAAGGAUGUGCCGCCCGGCCUGCCGGACUUGGAGUUGCUUGACCCAUCGACCACCGGCACGUCACCCCACAGCUUGACUUCAGGAUGUCAAAGCAGCCGGCUGUGGAGAGUGAAAAGGACACUUUUUCUGUUUCUUUGGACCUUGGGACUGUUUAUUCUGGGGCUAUGUGUUUUUUGUGUCAGCUGCCUAGCCAGGAGCUCCGUUUUCAUCACAGCCACCAGUCCAGCCAGAAGCUGCGUCAGCUGCCCAGCCAGAAGCUGCGUUUUCAUCACAGCCACCAGUCCAGCCAGCUGUUCAGUCGCCCUCAGCAGCCCAGUCUCCUGUGUUGCCACUAGUCCAGCCAUUAGCGCGGCCUGCACCUCAGCCAUUAGCGUGGCUGGCAGUUCAGUUAACUACACAGGUUGCAGCUCAACAGUCUAUUCAGCCACUAUGUCCACCCACUCAUUCUAAGGAGGAGGAUAGCCCUGCUAAGACUUUUGUUGUUCCUCUAGACCUGGCCUAUUUAGAGACUGUUACUCUCUCCAGGGUGUCCCCAGAGGCUGAGUUUCAGCCCUCAGUUAACUCUGGACAUGAAGAAGCCAGCGCAACCUGUUUCUCCUGGGAACUCAAUCGGGUUGUCUCAGUGAUUGGUCCCUGCUGAGAGCUCAGGGGAGUUAACUCUGCCACCGUUCUAUGCUGGAAGCUCUAGUGAGCUCAUUCGGCCAGCUAAGGACUGCAUCCUGCUCUUACUGCCUGAGCAGAGCCUCUGUCCUGCGCAGCUCCAAUCAGCUUCAUCUCUGUUCCCCGCGGCCGGCCUCCAGACCUGUUUCGUCGCCGCCACUGCCCUCCCCGUGGUCGGCCUCCAGACCUCUCUCGUCUCUGUCACUGGCCUCCGCGUCGGCCUCCUGAACGGUCUGACAGUUUUCAAAUGAACCUUAAAGAUUUUCCCAGGAAUACCUCAAAUAACAACUGUAUCUCAGACUUCAUUUUAAGAAAAUUUAAAUGAUACAGUGGAAAGUUUCUGCCUCUGUGAUUAUCUGCCUAAGACUGUAAAUGUUGGGUUUGAUUUUAAUUGUUAACAAGUCUGAUGUUGACUACUUGGUAGUGAUGCUAAAAAAAACCCCAAUCAUUUUAUUUUCAGCUUUUCUACCAUCACCUGAACACCUGAAGUCAGCUCAAUUAAAGUGUAGGAUGCUGCUGAUGGCCAUGUAUGUUUGUAUCAGGGCUGUGUUGGGAUCUGUUAGGGGAUGUUACGGAUGGGGCAUGGUGGCUGGAGGUUGCCAGGUUCUUGCAAUAUUCUUACAAUAAGAAUAAUAAAUAUGAUAAAAUAAUAAACAUAGCAAAAACAAUAAAAUAUAAGUAAAUACAAGUCAGUUAAGUCAAUUCAGAUUGAUGAAAGUCUGACUUUCAUCAAUCUGAAUCUCAACAGGUGAAGACUUGUUUUCAGAACUGAAGGAGGAAGUUUAGGAAAACCAGCACAUGAUGUAGAGAAAUUUCAGCACUGUGGCUCGACAGGAGCAGGUCCUGCCUUACCUGAACACCUUUGUCAGUGAUGGAGCUUCCUGUUUGUAUCCAAACACUGGGUCAGUUAAAGAGGGUGGGGGAGUAAAGAAAGGCCACCUCUUCCCUUGUGUUGGUGUAGCUGAAGUCGUAGACAUCCGAUAUUGCACAGUACUGUGUCAAUAUUUUUCCUCUUGCCUUUGGUGCCGUUUAUCCAUCUAGAUUAUUUUGGUAUGGGCAACCCACUCUUGUAGUUUUCUCUGAGCUCUGUGUCUCUGAAAAGUAAUGUUUCCAUUCUAAAGAAAUCCAGACUGUGUUACAGAUCUACUGACCUUGUAGGAAUUCUUUUCUUUCCACUGAACUACAUCUGCUAACCAUAUCAGUGUCCUGGAGGAAGCACGUAAAGGCUUUGAACAAGAAGCUGGACUUCAUGACAGACUUCAUGCUUCUUUGUAGUUGGCAGGUGUGGACACUGCACCAGAUUUCUGAGUUUUAACAAAUUCAUGCAUUUCAACAAUACUUUGAACUAGAAAGGUGGCAGUCAAGAAACAAGCAGUGCUUCAUUUAACAAAGUCAAUAUUUAUAGCAGAGGAGAUGCAGGUCUAGAUCAUUGGACUUAAAAUAUUUAUUAAAAACCCUGGACUAACCUCCAGCCGUAAAACAUGUUUAGCAUAAAAAUAUUAACAGGUGUAAUUAAGACAUGUGUGCAUAAAGUCUUUCAACUACAGCCUCUGUCAACAAACAUGAACAGAACAUUUAAAAUGGCCGUCAGAUAAAAUUCACAGAAAACCUGGAGCAGCAGCAGUUGUUGCCAUCCUGGUUUCUUGGGACAGCAAAACCCUGUUCCUCCUCUGAGACUGAGCUGGAAACAGCUUCAGCAGUCUCAAAGAUGAUGUUGCUCGUCUCCUUAUUAAGAGCACUCUCCACCCAUGCAGUGAGGUCUGCCAUGGGGAGACUCCCUUCAAGGCUGCUGCCAGAACUCCACAAGUCUAUAUGGUCCACAUGGGUCAGCUCAUCUGUGUUGCCAUGAGUCACUUUAAAAAAUUUAUACCAGGGUAAACUGCUGAGUGGCUUUUAAGGCCUAGAGUUGGUGUAGGCAAGAAUGCACAGGACUGAAAGAAUCAUUUGUUUUUCCCCUCAUUGAUCCAUCAUUUAGAAAACUGAAAAAAGCAUUUAGAAAGUGGUCAAGUAAAUGAGCUCUACUAAAACUUUCCACUUUAUUUUUCUGAAUAUUCAUCAUUGUCUGCAAUUGAUCAUUUUAACCACUGAUGUCUGAAGGAAAAAAAGUGUAAUCUCACAGAUAAUGACCUGUUUGUAGUCUUGGGUGGCAGGUUUUCCAUUUCUUUAUACCAGUGAUAUCAAACUGAGAGCUGCAAGAGGUCGUUUAUAAAUUUGUAAUCAGCUGUGUAAGAUGGUAGCCUGGUAUCACCUGCAUAUUAACUCACCUCCACAUUUACUGUGGGAAAUGGCCACUAAUGUGUGAGUGGGUUUGUUUCACAACUGCUGUGAGCCAGUGGCUGUGAUUGGGCUGGGUUCAUUGAAGGCAGGUGUAUUUGAUUGCACUCUAGUCUACUUAUACUCCAGACUACAAGUACUGCUGUUACUGAUGGCCAAAUGAAGCUUUCUGAAGUGUUGAAGCUUGUAUUGGCCAGAAGUAUGAAGAGCAGCUUGAAUCUACAACUUGAAAUGAACUGCUUCAUUAUCAUUGCCCAGUCACAGCUUCUGUUUAAUAUCAUGUGAUAAUUCUGUCUGAUAUCAGGCUAACGUUGUGGUGCUUUGAACCUGUAUUUUCUGUGUGACACAAUGUUAUGUCUGUUUCAUGAAUAAAUUUGAUGAAUAAACUUGUUUAAACAUGA
Molecule: long non-coding RNA, 3788 nt
Organism: Oreochromis niloticus (Nile tilapia)
Lineage: Eukaryota; Metazoa; Chordata; Actinopteri; Cichliformes; Cichlidae
Exons: 2
Source: RefSeq, a predicted model, not a curated record